RNAcentral lists this unclassified non-coding RNA (323 nucleotides) under fungal sp. RNAcentral describes it as "partial internal transcribed spacer region". The stretch from base 1 to 46 matches the Rfam family "Eukaryotic small subunit ribosomal RNA", at positions 1786 to 1831 of the family's 1831-position model. Lineage: Eukaryota; Fungi. The record is from RNAcentral.
AAGUCGUAACAAGGUAACCGUAGGUGAACCUGCGGUUGGAUCAUUAAAAAAUGUUUGGUCUUGUACCAAAUGAACACCUGUGUGCACCAAAUGACUGUUUUUGGUAGUUCGAGUUGCUCCUCGGGACUCAACACCCCGAGGUGCCUACCGCUGCCCGAUUAGGUGGACUGGUUUUACAACCUGGGCACCGUCAUUGGGCAACGCGCGGUUGGGCUACCGACCAUUUGAACAAACAUUUUGAUUUUUUUGUCUGAACUUUUAAGAUUUAAUCUUUGAUGAUUAAUGAUUAAUUACAGCUUUUGACAACGGAUCUCUUGGCUCUC